This 381-nucleotide ribosomal RNA is filed under the name uncultured archaeon. RNAcentral describes it as "bacterial SSU rRNA". It matches the Rfam family "Archaeal small subunit ribosomal RNA", at positions 471 to 851 of the family's 1478-position model. The record is from RNAcentral.
UAAAACUAGCAGUUCAAGUGGUAGCCACAAUUAUUGGGCUUAAAGCGUCCGUAGCCGGUCUAGCAAGUUCUCUGUGAAAUCCUUGGGCCUAACUCAAGGGCUUGCAGAGAAUACUACCAGGCUAGGAGUUGGGAGAAGUUGAGGGAACUACCAGGGUAGCGGUGAAAUGCUAUAAUCCUAGUAGGACCAUCAAUAGCGAAGGCACUCAACUAGAACAAGCUCGACGGUGAGGGACGAGAGCUAGGGGAGCAAACCGGAUUAGAUACCCGGGUAGUCCUAGCCGUAAACGAUGUGGACUGAGUGUUCCCCGAACUUAGGGUUCGGGGAGUGCUGAAGGGAAACCGUUAAGUCCACCGCCUGGGGAGUACGGUCACAAGGCUG